UGGGGGAUAUUGCACAAUGGGCGAAAGCCUGAUGCAGCGACGCCGCGUGGGGGAUGAAGGCUUUCGGGUUGUAAACCUCUUUCGCUAUCGAACAAGGCCCGCUUAGGGUGGGUUGAGGGUAGGUGGAGAAGAAGCGCCGGCUAACUACGUGCCAGCAGCCGCGGUAAUACGUAGGGCGCGAGUGUUGUCCGGAAUUAUUGGGCGUAAAGGGCUUGUAGGCGGCUUGUUGCGCCUGCUGUGAAAACGCGGGGCUUAACUUCGCGCGUGCAGUGGGUACGGGCAGGCUUGAGUGUGGUAGGGGUGACUGGAAUUCCAGGUGUAGCGGUGGAAUGCGCAGAUAUCUGGAGGAACACCGAUGGCGAAGGCAGGUCACUGGGCCAUUACUAACGCUGAGGAGCGAAAGCAUGGGUAGCGAACAGG
This 420-nucleotide ribosomal RNA is filed under the name bacterium. Its description in RNAcentral is "partial 16S ribosomal RNA". It matches the Rfam family "Bacterial small subunit ribosomal RNA", at positions 355 to 776 of the family's 1533-position model. The record is from RNAcentral.